GGAGGUUAUACCCGGAGGUCUCGACGCUCGCUCGUGCUGCUCGUGUUGCCGCUGGGUACGUUUGCUGCCAGUGCUGAUCCAGCCGGAGGCGAAGAGAAGCACUUUGGGGGCAAAAGAGAGAAAAAUGAAGACGGGACAUUUUGAAAUAGUCACCAUGCUGCUGGCAACCAUGAUUCUAGUGGACAUUUUCCAGUGAAGGCUGAAGUGUUAGACAUGG
Molecule: long non-coding RNA, 217 nt
Filed under: Homo sapiens (human)
Lineage: Eukaryota; Metazoa; Chordata; Mammalia; Primates; Hominidae
Description: HSALNT0073890
Source: RNAcentral